GAUGAACGCUGGCGGCGUGCCUAACACAUGCAAGUCGAGCGAACAGACGAGGACUUUGCUCCUCUGACGUUAGAGGCGGAGGGGAGAGUCACACGUGGUUAAACUACCUCUCCGACUGGGAUACCUUCGGGAAAUCGGCGCUUAUACCGGAUAAUAUAUUGAACCGCAUGGUUCAAUAGUGAAAGUCGGUUUUGGUGUGACUUAUAGCCUGACCCGCGCCGCAUUAGCUAGUUGGUUAGGUAACGGCUUACCAAGGCCACGAUGCGUAGACGACCUGAGCGCGUGGUCGGCCACCCGGGAUGUGAGACACGGUCCAGACUCCUGCGCGAGGCAGCAGUAGGGAAUCUUCCGCAAUGGUGGAGAGCGUGACAGAGCAACGCCGCGUAAGUGAUGAAGCUCCUCUGAUGGGAAAGCUCUGUUAUUAGUGGAGAACUAAUGUGUAUGUAACUAGGCACAUCUUGACGGUACCUGGACAAAAAGCCACGGCUAACUACGUG
This 497-nucleotide ribosomal RNA is filed under the name uncultured bacterium. RNAcentral describes it as "partial 16S ribosomal RNA". It matches the Rfam family "Bacterial small subunit ribosomal RNA", at positions 28 to 507 of the family's 1533-position model. The record is from RNAcentral.